CCUACGGGGGGCAGCAGUAGGGAAUAUUGCUCAAUGGGGGAAACGCUGAACCAGCAACGCCGCGUGGAGGAUGACGGUUUUCGGAUUGUAAACCCUUUUUGUUAGAGAAGAUAAUGACGGUACCUAACGAAUAAGCACCGGCUAACUCCGUGCCAGCAGCCGCGGUACUACGGCGGGUGCAACCGUUAAUCGGAAUCACUGGGCGUAAAGGGCGUGUAGGCGGGAUAGCAAGUCAGAUGUGAAAACCUAGGGCUUAACCAUAGAACUGCAUUUGAAACUGUGAGUCUAGAGUGUGCGAGAGGUAGGUGGAAUUCUUGGUGUAGGGGUAAAAUGCGUAGAGAUCAAGAAGAAUACUGAUUGCGAAGGCGACCUACUAGAACAUAACUGACGCUGAUGCACGAAAGCGUGGGGAGCGAACAGGAUUAGAUACCCGAGUAGUC
This 440-nucleotide ribosomal RNA is filed under the name uncultured bacterium. RNAcentral's name for it is "partial 16S ribosomal RNA". It matches the Rfam family "Bacterial small subunit ribosomal RNA", at positions 338 to 795 of the family's 1533-position model. The record is from RNAcentral.